GCACUACUGAAGAGUCCCAUAAUAGGACGAGAUGGUCGUCCAGUGC
This is a non-coding RNA of Schistosoma margrebowiei, 46 nucleotides long. NCBI's taxonomy places the organism in Eukaryota, Metazoa, Platyhelminthes, Trematoda, Strigeidida, Schistosomatidae. The record is from Rfam.